Bacteroidetes bacterium GWE2_29_8 is the source of this 67-nucleotide non-coding RNA. The record is from Rfam. NCBI's taxonomy places the organism in Bacteria, Pseudomonadati, Bacteroidota.
AUUAAGUGGAGCUCUGGAACCACUCAAAAAACGGGUGUAAUCGAAAAACCAAAAGAGUAGAAAAAAA